GAAAGCAAAAGAAAAGAUAAAACAAGGACAAAAAAAAAAGAACAAAAAAAAAAGAACAAAUCACAUAAGAGGAACAACCCUCAAGAUCUAAUGAUCUAUAGCAUUGCAAAUAACUAAAAGAAGCUCUAAAUUGAAUUUUAUAUUGGCUUCUUUACAGAAUUACUCUUUGGAUUGUAGCCAUGGAGAGAGAGAUUCUUCAUUAAAUUAGUCGUUUUCUUGAUCCUCAAAUCAUCAUCAGGUUUCCUAUCUCCUGCUUUUGUAUGCUUCAGAAAAUCGCCGUUUUUGUCUAUCUCCAUUCGCAGACUCGCAGGCUUAUUGCUCGUUUUAGCGUGUGGAAUCUUCUCUCGGUUUUCAUAGAAAUUGAAGUCAUCU
Molecule: unclassified non-coding RNA, 372 nt
Filed under: Hevea brasiliensis (rubber tree)
Lineage: Eukaryota; Viridiplantae; Streptophyta; Magnoliopsida; Malpighiales; Euphorbiaceae
Source: RNAcentral